UACGGAGGGUGCAAGCGUUAAUCGGAAUUACUGGGCGUAAAGCGCGCGCAGGCGGCGUGAUCAGCCGGUUGUGAAAGCCCCGGGCUCAACCUGGGAACGGCAUCCGGAACUGUCACGCUAGAGUGCAGGAGAGGAAGGUAGAAUUCCCGGUGUAGCGGUGAAAUGCGUAGAGAUCGGGAGGAAUACCAGUGGCGAAGGCGGCCUUCUGGACUGACACUGACGCUGAGGUGCGAAAGCAUGGGUAGCAAACAGG
RNAcentral lists this ribosomal RNA (253 nucleotides) under uncultured bacterium. Its description in RNAcentral is "partial 16S ribosomal RNA". It matches the Rfam family "Bacterial small subunit ribosomal RNA", at positions 524 to 776 of the family's 1533-position model. The record is from RNAcentral.